CAGAAGAUAGUUUAAUAAGAAUGCCAGCUUUGGGAGUUGGUGGUAGAGGUUUGAGUCCUCUUUUUCUGAAGUUGC
Molecule: transfer RNA, 75 nt
Filed under: Falco peregrinus (peregrine falcon)
Lineage: Eukaryota; Metazoa; Chordata; Aves; Falconiformes; Falconidae
Description: tRNA-Pro
Rfam family: tRNA
About the family: Transfer RNA (tRNA) molecules are approximately 80 nucleotides in length.
Source: RNAcentral